Molecule: long non-coding RNA, 423 nt
Organism: Oncorhynchus tshawytscha (Chinook salmon)
Lineage: Eukaryota; Metazoa; Chordata; Actinopteri; Salmoniformes; Salmonidae
Exons: 2
Source: RefSeq, a predicted model, not a curated record
CAAUGGUCAUUGAUGAUGCAUUGGUACACUUAUUUAUUCCAGGAAUGAAGGCUUCAUCUGAAGAUCUCAAGCCAUAUUAUUGGUGUGGUUUGCUGAUAAAAGAUAAAAAGAAAAAAAAUGUUGACAGUGGAAAGAAGAUUCCCAUAAGGUCUCAGACUCCAGGACUGGACAAUUCUUAACAAGAAAUAAACAGAUGAAGACACAGAAGGGGACCAUGAGACCCUAUGUUGUAUUUUAAAUAGUUCAUUUGUUGUCAAUUUCUAUUCUGACAUGUAAUGUUAAAAAGGGGAGAAAAAGCCCCCACCCAUUUAUCUGAAUUAGCUAGACUACUCACUAUACCAAUGAUAGGCUACACAUUUGAGUAACUGCAAAAUUGUUUUCCCAAUGUGUCCUUCUAUUAAAUGACAUGUUCUUUUUACUAUG